UACAGAGGGUGCGAGCGUUAAUCGGAAUUACUGGGCGUAAAGCGCGCGUAGGCGGCUUUUCAAGUCGAUUGUGAAAUCCCCCGGGCUUAACCUGGGAACUGCAGUCGAGACUGUCUAGCUAGAGUAUGGGAGAGGGAAGUGGAAUUUCAGGUGUAGCGGUGAAAUGCGUAGAUAUCUGAAGGAACAUCAGUGGCGAAAGCGACUUCCUGGACCAAUACUGACGCUCAUGUGCGAAAGCGUGGGGAGCAAACAGG
This 254-nucleotide ribosomal RNA is filed under the name uncultured bacterium. RNAcentral's name for it is "partial 16S ribosomal RNA". It matches the Rfam family "Bacterial small subunit ribosomal RNA", at positions 524 to 776 of the family's 1533-position model. The record is from RNAcentral.